AGAGUUUGAUCAUGGCUCAGGAUGAACGCUGGCGGCGUGCCUAAUACAUGCAAGUCGAGCGGCAGCACGGUCUUCGGACUGGUGGCGAGCGGCGGACGGCUGAGUAACGCGUAGGAAUAUACCCCAAAGUGAGGGAUAACUGCCCGAAAGGGUGGCUAAUACCGCAUGUGGUCUUCGGACUAAAGCCUUCGGGCGCUUUGGGAAUAGCCUGCGUAAGAUUAGCUAGUCGGUGAGGUAAUGGCUCACCAAGGCGACGAUCUUUAGCUGGUCUGAGAGGAUGACCAGCCAGACUGGAACUGAGACACGGUCCAGACUCCUACGGGAGGCAGCAGUAGGGAAUUUUCCACAAUGGGCGAAAGCCUGAUGGAGCAACGCCGCGUGCAGGAUGAAGGCCCUCGGGUCGUAAACUGCUUUUAUGUGCGAAGAAUAUGACGGUAACACAUGAAUAAGGGUCGGCUAACUACGUG
This 467-nucleotide ribosomal RNA is filed under the name uncultured bacterium. RNAcentral describes it as "bacterial SSU rRNA". It matches the Rfam family "Bacterial small subunit ribosomal RNA", at positions 8 to 507 of the family's 1533-position model. The record is from RNAcentral.